RNAcentral lists this ribosomal RNA (1443 nucleotides) under uncultured organism. Its description in RNAcentral is "SSU rRNA". It matches the Rfam family "Bacterial small subunit ribosomal RNA". The record is from RNAcentral.
UAGCUACAGGCUUAACACAUGCAAGUCGAGGGGCAGCAUGGUCUUAGCUUGCUAAGGCCGAUGGCGACCGGCGCACGGGUGAGUAACGCGUAUCCAACCUGCCUUACACUCUUGGACAGCCUUCUGAAAGGGAGAUUAAUACAAGAUGUUAUCAUGAGUAAGCAUUUUCGCAUGAUUAAAGGUUUACCGGUGUAAGAUGGGGAUGCGUUCCAUUAGAUAGUAGGCGGGGUAACGGCCCACCUAGUCUUCGAUGGAUAGGGGUUCUGAGAGGAAGGUCCCCCACAUUGGAACUGAGACACGGUCCAAACUCCUACGGGAGGCAGCAGUGAGGAAUAUUGGUCAAUGGACGAGAGUCUGAACCAGCCAAGUAGCGUGAAGGAUGAAGGUUCUAUGGAUUGUAAACUUCUUUUAUACGGGAAUAAACGAAUCCACGUGUGGAUUUUUGCAUGUACCGUAUGAAUAAGGAUCGGCUAACUCCGUGCCAGCAGCCGCGGUAAUACGGAGGAUCCGAGCGUUAUCCGGAUUUAUUGGGUUUAAAGGGAGCGUAGAUGGGUUGUUAAGUCAGUUGUGAAAGUUUGCGGCUCAACCGUAAAAUUGCAAUUGAUACUGGCAGUCUUGAGUACAGUUGAGGUAGGCGGAAUUCGUGGUGUAGCGGUGAAAUGCUUAGAUAUCACGAAGAACUCCGAUUGCGAAGGCAGCUUACUAACCUGUAACUGACAUUGAUGCUCGAAAGUGUGGGUAUCAAACAGGAUUAGAUACCCUGGUAGUCCACACGGUAAACGAUGAAUACUCGCUGUAGGCGAUAUACAGUCUGCGGCCAAGCGAAAGCAUUAAGUAUUCCACCUGGGGAGUACGCCGGCAACGGUGAAACUCAAAGGAAUUGACGGGGGCCCGCACAAGCGGAGGAACAUGUGGUUUAAUUCGAUGAUACGCGAGGAACCUUACCCGGGCUUAAAUUGCAGCCGAAUAUGGCGGAAACGCUAUAGCUAGCAAUAGCGGUUGUGAAGGUGCUGCAUGGUUGUCGUCAGCUCGUGCCGUGAGGUGUCGGCUUAAGUGCCAUAACGAGCGCAACCCUUGCCGAUAGUUACUAACAGGUCAUGCUGAGGACUCUGUCGGGACUGCCAUCGUAAGAUGUGAGGAAGGUGGGGAUGACGUCAAAUCAGCACGGCCCUUACGUCCGGGGCUACACACGUGUUACAACGGGGGGUACAGAGGGCUGCUACCACGCAAGUGGAUGCCAAUCCCAAAAACCUCUCUCAGUUCGGAUUGAAGUCUGCAACCCGACUUCAUGAAGCUGGAUUCGCUAGUAAUCGCGCAUCAGCCACGGCGCGGUGAAUACGUUCCCGGGCCUUGUACACACCGCCCGUCAAGCCAUGGGAGCCGGGGGUACCUGAAGUGCGUAACCGCAAGGAGCGCCCUAGGGUAAAACUGGUGACUGGGGCU